This 253-nucleotide ribosomal RNA is filed under the name uncultured bacterium. Its description in RNAcentral is "partial 16S ribosomal RNA". It matches the Rfam family "Bacterial small subunit ribosomal RNA", at positions 524 to 776 of the family's 1533-position model. The record is from RNAcentral.
UACGGGGGGGGCAAGCGUUGUUCGGAAUUACUGGGCGUAAAGCGUGCGCAGGCGGUUGUGCAAGACAGAUGUGAAAUCCCCGGGCUUAACCUGGGAACUGCAUUUGUGACUGCACGGCUAGAGUGUGUCAGAGGGGGGUAGAAUUCCACGUGUAGCAGUGAAAUGCGUAGAUAUGUGGAGGAAUACCGAUGGCGAAGGCAGCCCCCUGGGGUAACACUGACGCUCAUGCACGAAAGCGUGGGGAGCAAACAGG